GUGGUGAAUCUUGCGCAAUGGGCGAAAGCCUGACGCAGCCAUGCCGCGUGAAUGAUGAAGGUCUUAGGAUUGUAAAAUUCUUUCACCGGGGACGAUAAUGACGGUACCCGGAGAAGAAGCCCCGGCUAACUUCGUGCCAGCAGCCGCGGUAAUACGAAGGGGGCUAGCGGUGCUCGGAAUUACUGGGCGUAAAGGGCGCGUAGGCGGACAGUUUAGUCAGAGGUGAAAGCCCAGGGCUCAACCUUGGAAUUGCCUUUGAUACUGGCUGUCUUGAGUACGGGAGAGGUGAGUGGAACUCCGAGUGUAGAGGUGAAAUUCGUAGAUAUUCGGAAGAACACCAGUGGCGAAGGCGACUCACUGGCCCGUUACUGACGCUGAGGCGCGAAAGCGUGGGGAGCAAACAGGAUUAGAAACCCUAGUAGUCC
RNAcentral lists this ribosomal RNA (425 nucleotides) under uncultured bacterium. Its description in RNAcentral is "partial 16S ribosomal RNA". It matches the Rfam family "Bacterial small subunit ribosomal RNA", at positions 354 to 796 of the family's 1533-position model. The record is from RNAcentral.